AUGGAGAGACAGAGCGCACCACUUCUGGUGAAGAGGCCGAAGGAGAGGGAAGGCCAGGUCCAAAGACUGGCCAGCGAGGUAUGGGAAGAGUCCAUGAAGCUGUGGGAGGUGGUCGGCCCGGCCGUGUUCAUGAGGCUGGUCCUCUAUAGCUUGAACAUCAUCAGCCAGUCCUUCGCCGGCCAUCUCGGCGACGCUGAGCUCGCCGCCUUCUCCAUCGCCAGCACCGUCAUCUCCGGCUUCAACCUCGGCUUCUUGCUUGGCAUGGCGAGCGCACUGGAGACGCUGUGCGGCCAGGCGUACGGCGCGAAGCAGUACGCAAUGCUGGGCGUGUACAUGCAGCGCUCGUGGCUUGUCCUCUUGGCUUUCGCGGCGCUCCUUUCCCCGACCUACAUCUUCAGCGGGCAGCUGCUCAGCGCGCUCGGCCAGCCCGCCGAUCUGGCCCGCGAGGCCGGCGCGGUCAGCGCGUGCCUGCUCCCACUGCACUUCAUGUACGCCAUCCUCCUGCCGCUCAACAAGUUCCUCCAGUGCCAGAGGAAGAACGCGGUCACCGCGGUGACCACCGCCGUGGCGUUCCCGGUGCACGCCGCGGUGACCUGGCUGCUGGUCAGCUACUUCGGGCUGGGAGUCAUCGGCGCCGCCAUCGCGCUCAACUUCUCAUGGGCGCUCGUCGUGGCGCUGCAGCUCGCGUACGCCGUCGGAGGCGGCUGCCCGGAGACGUGGAGAGGGUUCUCGUCGUUGGCGUUCGUGGACAUCUGGGGUUCGUUAAGUUGUCCUCGGCGUCCGGAGUCAUGUUGUGCUUGGAGAGUUGGUACUAUAGGUUUUUGA
Molecule: ribosomal RNA, 825 nt
Filed under: Triticum aestivum (bread wheat)
Lineage: Eukaryota; Viridiplantae; Streptophyta; Magnoliopsida; Poales; Poaceae
Description: partial small subunit ribosomal RNA
Source: RNAcentral